CCUACGGGAGGCAGCAGUGGGGGAUAUUGCACAAUGGGGGAAACCCUGAUGCAGCGACGCCGCGUGUGGGAGGACGGUCCUCUGUAUUGUAAACCACUGUACCCGGGGACGAAGAUGACGGUACCUGGGGAGGAAGCCCCGGCUAACUACGUGCCAGCAGCCGCGGUAAUACGUAGGGAGCAGGCGUUGUCCGGAAUUACUGGGUGUAAAGGGAGCGUAGGCGGAACUGCAAGUCAGAGGUAAAAUCUACAGGCGCAACCAGUAGCCGCAUUUAAAACUGCAGAUCUUGAGUGACGGAGAGGCAGGCGGAAUUCCUAGUGUAGCGGUGAAAUGCGUAGAUAUUAGGAGGAACACCAGUGGCGAAGGCGGCCUACUGGGCCGAUACUGACGCUGAGGCUCGAAAGUGUGGGGAGCAAACAGGAUUAGAUACCCGAGUAGUC
Molecule: ribosomal RNA, 440 nt
Filed under: uncultured bacterium
Lineage: Bacteria
Description: partial 16S ribosomal RNA
Rfam family: Bacterial small subunit ribosomal RNA
Source: RNAcentral